RNAcentral lists this ribosomal RNA (162 nucleotides) under uncultured bacterium. RNAcentral describes it as "partial 16S ribosomal RNA". It matches the Rfam family "Bacterial small subunit ribosomal RNA", at positions 355 to 509 of the family's 1533-position model. The record is from RNAcentral.
UAGGGAAUCUUCCACAAUGGGCGCAAGCCCGAUGGAGCAACACCGCGUGAGUGAAGAAGGGUUUCGGCUCGUAAAGCUCUGUUGUUGGAGAAGAACGUGCGUGAGAGUAACUGUUCACGCAGUGACGGUAUCCAACCAGAAAGUCACGGCUAACUACGUGCC